RNAcentral lists this ribosomal RNA (303 nucleotides) under uncultured bacterium. RNAcentral describes it as "partial 16S ribosomal RNA". It matches the Rfam family "Bacterial small subunit ribosomal RNA", at positions 507 to 807 of the family's 1533-position model. The record is from RNAcentral.
AGCAGCCGCCGCGGUAAUACGAAGGGGGCAAGCGUUGUCCGGAAUUAUUGGGCGUAAAGCGCGCGCAGGUGGUUUAAUAAGUCUGAUGUGAAAGCCCACGGCUCAACCGUGGAGGGUCAUUGGAAACUGUUAAACUUGAGUGCAGGAGAGAAAAGUGGAAUUCCUAGUGUAGCGGUGAAAUGCGUAGAGAUUAGGAGGAACACCAGUGGCGAAGGCGGCUUUUUGGCCUGUAACUGACACUGAGGCGCGAGAGCGUGGGGAGCAAACAGGAUUAGAUACCCCUGUAGUCCCUGUCUCUUAUAC